GCGUGGACGCCGCACGCUCGGCCCCGCUUCCUCCCGGGCCCGCUCCGCAGGCAGCUGCGACUCCAGCAGCCCCAGCUUUCUCCCACUGCCCUCCCCCGGACACCCAGAUGCUCCUCUCGCCCCUGCCAUCCCAAGUGGCGGAGGCGGACAUUUCCCUGAAACCCUGCGUCCGCUGGGGACGCGAUCCCUGGAGAAGGAGAGCAUCCUCUCCAAGGCGCAAAGCCACACUCUCUCUGGGAGUGGUCUAUCCGCUCCCCGGGCCGGGAGUCCGUCGGGGGAGAGCCACCUGGUCAUCCCGUUUGUCCUCCUCUUCUCCCUCCCCUCCCGCCUAGCGAGGGCCGCAACAGGUGCAGAAGGCGCGGCCGCACAAUAACCCGGCGGAGCUAAGGGGCUGUGAGCUGCGGCCGGCGCUGGAGGAUCGUAUAGUACCUGCUCGGAAUCCUCGCUCCCCCACUAGCUUCAAAACUCCAGGCGAGCCAGCCAGCUUCUCCGAGGCGGUUCUCUCGUCCGCAAUACAUGGGUAAUAAUGUAUCCGCGGCUUAGGGAUGUUGGGAAAACUAAGAGUUCACGUAGCAAAGCACUUAGCGAUGCGCGGAGCUCGUGGCAGGCGCUCUCCUACGGUGGGGUGGAGGGCUACAGGAACACCAGACGACCUCCUCAAAGGGACCAGUGAGCCGAGAUUUAGAGUCUAAGACGCGUGGCCAGCGUCCAGUGUCUGCCGAUGAGCACUAACUCCUUGGCGAGUGAAAUCAAGCACCUCCUUUCUCUCUGUUCUCCAUCAUUUCCUCCCGGCUCUCCUUCCCUUUAUUGAUCCGGGUCCUGGGGCAGAAAGCAGCGAGCGGAGGGAUAACUUGGCCCGGAGUCUGCGUCUGGCGCUGGGGAGCGGGGACUGAGCCCGGAACACCGACUGGGCGGCUGCGCCAACAACCACUGCGGACGCAGGGCGGGUGCGAGAGGCUGAGAGGCUGCGCCCCGCCAUCCAGCCUCGCUCCAGCCGGGAGGAUCCGGCUCUUCAAGACGAUACCCUUAACCCUGCAGUCGCCCGGAACAGGUCCUGCCCCUGCCUGGGGAGGGAAAACCCCCGCAGCGGCCCCGCGCCCCUUCCUCCCUAGCGUGGAGGCUCCAACUGGAGAGACCUGUGUGAGGAAACCGAUCUGGAGCCAGCAGAUCCUGUUCCGACCUCGCCUCAUUACUUUUGUUACUCCAGCUGCCAGCAGAGCACGCUUUGUCCCUCCCGUGUGCUAUCAUUCAUUAACAAGACGCAGACGGGCUUUAGUUUUUGAGUAUAGAAGUCAAUGGUCUGUAUGCAAUGGUAAAUGUCGCCCCCAGAUAUGUUGUUCCCACUCUCUCUCUCUCUUCAUGAGGAAACUAUACAGACAUAGGUCUAAUGUUAUCUCCAUUUUACAGAUGGGAAAACUGAGUCAUGGGGACAGGCUGCAGAUUUGAAGAAAGUCUCAAGACAACCAAGUCUCUCUUCUCUGCUCUAGGUUCAAUUUGGCCAAUUGACCUUUAAAUGUGAGCCCUUGGCAACCUGGUCUAGUGGCUGAGGCAGGGGGCUAGAGUACAGUGGCGUGAUCUCAGCUCACUGCAGCCUCCACCUCCAGGGUUCAAGCGAUUCUCCUGCCUCAGCUCCCAAGUAGCUGGGAUUACAGAGACAGGGUCUCGCUAUGUUGCCCAGGCUGGUCUCAAACUCCUGGGCAAACGAUCCUCCUGACUGGGCCUCCCAAAGCGCUGAGAUUACAGGUGUAAGCCAUGGCACCCAGCCUCUAAUUCCAAGAUCGGUGCUUUUCCCAUGGCCUCUCUGCAUUCGAAGACAGAAGAGAUGAUGAAGGACUGAGAGGACCAGACUUAGUGGAAGACCUGAAAUAAAGACAUACCAUUGCCUGAAAAAACGAAUACAAACAUGACCCCUUCAAAUGCUCACUGAACACCUACCACAUUCCUGGCAUUGUGCUAGGUGCUGUAGAAAACUCAGAAAGAAAUGACAAAUAUAAAUGCACACACAGUUUACUCAACUCUGAAUUCCAAGUGCAGAGAAGAGAAAAAGUAUUAAGUGAAGGAAAUUGAUAGGACAGACCAUUAGAUGAAGAGACAGAGUCUCACUAUGUUGUCCAGGCUCGCCUUGAACUCCUGGCCUCAAGCCAUCCUCCUGCCUCAGCCUCCCCAGUAUCUGAGACUACAAGCAUGAGCCACCGUAACCAGCUCUUGCUUAAGUUUAUAUUAGCAGCAAGACUUCCUCUAAGUGUAGUCAACUAGAGCAGCAUUUCCCAAUGUGUGGCCCUAGGACGUUGUUAGGUAUUACAUGGAAUAAAAAUGGGAACACUGAGUUAAACAAGCAAGAACGGGCUUAUUCACUGCAGAACUUCUCAGGACUUUUAAUAUGUUUCAUGCCAUCAGUGGCUCAGCUUCAAGGUCAAGAUCCUUAACAUGCCUACACCACCUUCCAUGGACUGGCCCAGGUGAGUGGCAGAACCUCACACCCUCGUCCCGCUGCCUUCCUGCCACACUGGCCCUGCCACCAGUUUCUCUAGAUCCAUGUCAUUGAGUGCAGCAUCCACGGGCCUCCUGUGGCUACUGAGCACUUGAGAUGUGGCUAGUCUACAUUGAGAUGUGCUGUAAGCAGAAAAUACCCACCAGAUUUUGAAGACUUAAGACAAAAAAAAGUAAAUUCUUAACAUUAAUAAUUUUUAUGUUGAAUGCAUAUUGGAAUAAUACUUUGGACAGACUGAGUUAGGUAAAAUAUAUUAUUAAAAUUGUUUUCACCUUUUUCUCUACUUUUUA
Molecule: long non-coding RNA, 2781 nt
Organism: Symphalangus syndactylus (siamang)
Lineage: Eukaryota; Metazoa; Chordata; Mammalia; Primates; Hylobatidae
Source: RefSeq, a predicted model, not a curated record